Molecule: long non-coding RNA, 2632 nt
Filed under: Homo sapiens (human)
Lineage: Eukaryota; Metazoa; Chordata; Mammalia; Primates; Hominidae
Description: IL21R antisense RNA 1 (IL21R-AS1)
Source: RNAcentral
AUCACUUCUGCUCACAACUGCCCAGUCCCAGCCAGUCACAUGGCCCCAUCUGGCUACAGAGGGUCAGGAUGUACAAUCCUGCCAUGUGCCCAGCAUAUGGUGAACAGCAUAAUGACUUCCAUACUCAUGUAUCUAAACGGUCCAGGAGAAACGUGGUUUCAGGCAUGGCUGGAUCCGGGAUCUCAAGAGCUAUUACCAUCUCUCAGCUCUGCUUUCUUGUGUGUUUCUUGCUGCCCCUCCCAGUACCCUCCUUACAGCUUAGUAAUCCCAGCAGAAAGAGAGCAUGGACCAGCUAGGGUACGUUCCAGCAGAGCAAGGUGAAAAAGAGCUGAAAGUGGCAUCAGAAGCCCAGAGUUCUGGUUCCAGCUCCGACCACUCAUUCAGUGUGUGACCUCAGGCAGGUCACCAGCCUGAGCUGUGCCUUCAUUUCAUCUGUCAGACGGAUGACUCUGCCCCUCAGAGCUUGCAGACGGCAAGGUGAUAAGGAACAAUAUGGACUUCUUGCAGCUCCUGGAGGCAGACGCUGGAGGGCUGGGCUCCGCCUCAGUCACAGGCAAUGCCCUGAUCCCACAAAGCCCCGGAGAUGCUGUGGACCAACUUGCAACACAAGACCCUAGGAGGGAGGACGGCUGUUGUCAUCUGUUGACCACAAACACGUUUACUGUGCACACUUGUGCACAUGGGUGAGCUCCGUGAGUCCAGACAUGCACAGGGCAGGUGAAUGCAUGGAGUACCAUGGGCAUUAUCCCAGGCCCACAGGCACGUGCAAUCACACACACACGUGGACAUGCCACUGCGCACCUAAGACACACACACACACACACAUGCAUAUGCACACACACACAUAUGCACACACACACACAGACACUGUAAACAUCAGGCUCAAAGGCCCAUCCAGGAGACCAAAGGCUGCAGGUGUCUUCACAUCACAGCCCAGGUGACCUUGUCUCUGGCUCAGGGCCCAGUGGCCUGGCCAGCUCUGGACAUCCAGUCAGCCUCAUUAGCUGGCCUGGGGUCCAGGGCUCGAAAGUGGCGGAGGAAUGACCACCCACUGGCGGAGGUAGCUCCGGGGGGGUCCUUCGUCCCCGGGGCUGGUGAAGUCACACUCCACAGGGCUGCUGCAGUCAGAGCCCACAAAGCCACUGUCAAACGUGUCCAUAUCCAGGCCGGCCAGGGGUGAGCCCGCCUCACUCUCUGAGACCCCUCCAGGUGACCGGCCACCCCAGGGCAGUCCCCCAGCCCAGUCCUCCCCAUCUGCAAGGGGUGGCUUUAGUCUGUCCAGGAGGCUUCCCAGGGGCCCUCCUAGCCCAGGGCUGCCAGCUGAGACACAGCCACAGGACAGGACUGUGGUCCCUGCAUCCAAGAGUGGGUCCUCUAGGCCUGGGCUGGGCUCCAGGCCAGCAUCCAGGUCCAGGGCUGGGUAGCCGUCAUCCUCACAGCUGCAGGGCCAGGUGCAUGGCCCCUCUGCAUCUAGCACAGUCACUGUGUCAAUGGACACCAGGCCGUAUGGCCGAUCCCUCUCCUCACUGUAAGCUGAGCCCCCCGAGUUCUGGGCUGUCGGCCAGAAGCUGGGCUUGGGCACACCGUCAGACUCCACCAGCUCUGCUGGUUCUUGUAGCUCCGUGAGCUGCAGCCUCUUGGCCGGGCUCCGUGGUGGGUGGCAGCUGUACACCUCCAGGGUGGAGGGCACCUCUGGGCUCCAGGGUCCCAGCUCCAGGCUGGAGCCAGUGAAGGGUGCACCCACCCAUUUCUGUGAGAGAGAAAAAGAGAGAGUCAUAGCACAGGAUGAGGGUAAGGUGAGGGUUUAUUUUUCUUUUACUUUUAUUCUUUUGAGACAGUCUGGCUCUGCUGCCCAGGCUGGAAUGCAGUGGUGCCAUCUCGGUUCACUGCAACCUCUGCCUCCCAGGAUCAAGUGAUUCUCCUGCCUCAGCCUCCCAAGUAGCUGGGACUACAGGCGCCUGUCACCACACCCGGCUAAUUUUUGUAUUUUUAGUAGAGACGUGGUUUCACCAUGUUGGCCAGACUGAUCUUGAACUCCUGACGUCAGGUGAUCCACCCGCCUCAGCCUCCCAAAGUGUUGGGAUUACAGGCGUGAGUCACUGUGCCCAGCCAAGGUGAGGGUUUAAACAGACAGAAAGACAGACACAGACACAGAGACAAGACAAAGAGACAUCAAGAGAGACAGACAGAGACAUGAAGAUAGACAAAGACACCGAGAGACAGAGAGAGAGAGAGGAAUCAGGACCACAAUGUGCUCCCACCCUAGUGGAUCCCCCUCCUACUCUGGGCCUCAGUUUCCCUACUUGUAGAAGGGAGUUGCUACCCUUAGUAGUGUGACCAGUCAGACAACUGGUGGCCCCAUAGUCCAGGCAGGGACCAAGAUUCCUGAGUCAAGGAGACAUGGGGGCAGGAGGGCCUGAGGUCUGAGGUACCCCUGAGCCAUCUCCUGCUUUCCCGCCUCCUUGAUGCUUCUUGAAACCUAGCACUCUCCUGGUUUAUGUGUCCCCACCAGACAGACACUUGGCCCCCGGACAUAAGUCUUGUCUCUUCUGUCCAUGGCUGUAGCCCCAGUGCCUAGCACAAAGUAGGUGCUCAAUAAAUGUUUAUUAACGAAAAAAAAAAAAAAAAAAAA